This 1222-nucleotide long non-coding RNA is filed under the name Setaria italica (foxtail millet). Its description in RNAcentral is "long non-coding RNA (SITA_LNC004679)". Lineage: Eukaryota; Viridiplantae; Streptophyta; Magnoliopsida; Poales; Poaceae. The record is from RNAcentral.
GGGAGCGACGCCAAUGGCGACUCCACCCCGAGAGAGCCAGCCCUAAUAGGUCCCUCCCCACACAGUCCAACCCCCUCCCUUCCCCACCCAGAUCCGGCUUCACCGGAGGUCAACAUUCCGGCAGGACCAUCGCCGGCCCCGGAUGGCCCAGCAGAGAGUGAGCCCCCAACAACUCCAAGGAAGCAUCCCCGCCACCAAGACAGCUGCCAGGGAUUCAAGUCGUGCAACAAGAGGCGACAACUAGGACAGCCCCAAGGUUCGAGGUCAACGGAUCCGGUCGGUGGCGGCCAUCCUCUUCCUGAAUCUCGCUCAAGAUUUGCAAUUAAUAGUGGAGAUUCAAGAGGGGAAGCGGAGUGCGGGGCUCGAUGCAGCGGACCAGAGCAUGCCGGAUCCGCUGGUCCUAGGAGGGAAGAAGCACUCAGAGCUCGAUGCGGCGGACGGGAGCUCACCGAAUCCACUGGUCCAAGAUCUGCUCCAACACCCUCUACACGAGAUAAUCUCGACGCGAUUCGUCUUCACCACACCACCGGCUAGCAAGGACAACCAAUUUACUGCUCACGGGAAGCGAUUCACUGGCGCGGAGUAGGGGAAGGGGAUGGAUAUGGCGCAAGCAGUAGAGAAGCAUUCAAUCCUGGAGAAAGCAGUAGGCGAAAGCAGUACAAGAAUGAGCUGGGCGCAAUAGAGAAUUGAAGGCUUGCGACACGGCCAAUCACAUCCACAUACGGCAGGAACUAGACAUUGGGAAGAGGCGCAGCACCAUCGCAGACAAGCCCCUCACAACAAUCCGUUGCAUUCAUCGACUACAAGGCGUCAGCUGCAGGAAGAUGAGGGCUUCAGAGAAGUUAAAUCGCCAUACUGGUGGCGCAAAGAAAAGCAACAUUCAAGAGGAAGCCCUGAGCAGCACCAACCAAGGAUGACAAAACAGAGGAGGAUGAAAUUCAUGUCUCAUGCCCAAGGAAAAUGCCUCAACUACUUCUCAAUGGAUCACAGGGUUGCACACUGCAGAAACAUCACUAAAUGCUAGAAAUGUUUGAAUUCCGGGCACAAAGCUCUCUCCUGCCUUGCCUGGGUGAGCAGAUUUAAGCAGCCUCAACACAGCAGCAAACCACUUCUCAGCCCUCCUACGGCCAAGCCUUUGCCCCGGACGGCCGCACCUACCUUCAAGCAGCAAAGGACGAAGCUGCUCCCAUGGCAGCGUACCCGGGUGACCCGCAUGCUCGCC